RNAcentral lists this ribosomal RNA (207 nucleotides) under uncultured bacterium. Its description in RNAcentral is "partial 16S ribosomal RNA". It matches the Rfam family "Bacterial small subunit ribosomal RNA", at positions 568 to 774 of the family's 1533-position model. The record is from RNAcentral.
CGUGCAGGCGGUUUUGUAAGUCGGACGUGAAAGCUCCUGGCUCAACUGGGAGAGGCCGUUCGAGACUGCGAGACUUGAGGUCGGGAGAGGGACGUGGAAUUCCCGGUGUAGUGGUGGAAUGCGUAGAUAUCGGGAGGAACACCAGUGGCGAAGGCGGCGUCCUGGCCCGCACCUGACGCUAAGACGCGAAAGCGUGGGUAGCGAACG